ACCUCUAGCAUUACCAGUAUUAGAGGCAAUGCCUGCCCAGUGACACCAAUUCAACGGCCGCGGUAUUCUGACCGUGCAAAGGUAGCAUAAUCACUUGUUCUCCAAAUAAGGACUCGUAUGAAUGGCCACACGAGGGUUUUACUGUCUCUUACUUCCAAUCAGUGAAAUUGACCUUCCCGUGAAGAGGCGGGAAUAAAAAAAUAAGACGAGAAGACCCUAUGGAGCUUUAAUUAACUAGUCCAAAAGUUAAAUAAUUCAACCACAAAGGGAUAACAUUAAACUUAAUAUGGAUUAGCAAUUUUGGUUGGGGUGACCUCGGAGUACAAGAAACCCUCCGAAUGAUUUUAAUCUAGACAAACCAGUCAAAAUAAUUACAAAUAUCACUUAUUGAUCCAAAAUUUUGAUCAACGGAACAAGUUACCCUAGGGAUAACAGCGCAAUCCUAUUAUAGAGUUCCUAUCGACAAUAGGGUUUACGACCUCGAUGUUGGAUCAGGACAUCCAAAUGGUGCAACCGCUAUUAAA
This 524-nucleotide ribosomal RNA is filed under the name Phacochoerus africanus (Common warthog). Its description in RNAcentral is "partial 16S ribosomal RNA". It matches the Rfam family "Bacterial large subunit ribosomal RNA", at positions 1818 to 2569 of the family's 2925-position model. Lineage: Eukaryota; Metazoa; Chordata; Mammalia; Artiodactyla; Suidae. The record is from RNAcentral.